UUUUUUUCUCACCUUUGUGUGUUUUUAUGGAGUGACACCUAACCUAAAGUGGUAAUUUCCUACGGAUCUGGGGUAACCACCAGAUGGCAACGGACAAUUAUUUGUUGUUGGAGUAAAUGAGUUUUGGGAUUUCCAGCAAGGGUUCCUGGUUUUGAACCUUUACCAUGGCAGUGCCACUACAUAACCGUUUCCAGGCUCUAGUUAGUUUAAAUGAUGAGGGGAUGGUAAGACAGGUGAACAAAUUGGCGGCCUUUAUUAAACCCUCCUCGCCUAACCAACAGACCCUGGCAAAGGUCCUGCAAAGAGUGGCGGGACUAGCUUCAGACUUACCCCAAUAACCAGGAAGAGCACGG
Coregonus clupeaformis (lake whitefish) is the source of this 353-nucleotide long non-coding RNA. RefSeq lists it as uncharacterized. The transcript has 4 exons. NCBI's taxonomy places the organism in Eukaryota, Metazoa, Chordata, Actinopteri, Salmoniformes, Salmonidae. The record is from RefSeq and is a predicted model, not a curated record.